UGGGGAAUAUUGCACAAUGGGGGAAACCCUGAUGCAGCAACGCCGCGUGAGUGAUGACGGCCUUCGGGUUGAAAAGCUCUGUCUUCAGGGACGAUAAUGACGGUACCUGAGGAGGAAGCCACGGCUAACUACGUGCCAGCAGCCGCGGUAAUACGGAGGGUGCAAGCGUUAUUCGGAAUUACUGGGCGUAAAGCGCGUGUAGGCGGCUUGGAAAGUCAGAUGUGAAAGCUUCGGGCUUAACCCGGAAAGUGCAUUUGAAACUCCCUAGCUUGAGUCCCGGAGAGGAAGGUGGAAUUCCCAGUGUAGAGGUGAAAUUCGUAGAUAUUGGGAGGAACACCAGUGGCGAAGGCGUCUCACCAGAACGGACCUGACGGCAAGGGACGAAAGCUAGGGGCACGAACC
Molecule: ribosomal RNA, 402 nt
Filed under: uncultured prokaryote
Description: bacterial SSU rRNA
Rfam family: Bacterial small subunit ribosomal RNA
Source: RNAcentral